RNAcentral lists this long non-coding RNA (1314 nucleotides) under Struthio camelus australis. Its description in RNAcentral is "lncRNA (ENSSCUG00000016271.1)". The record is from RNAcentral. Lineage: Eukaryota; Metazoa; Chordata; Aves; Struthioniformes; Struthionidae.
GUUUCUACUGUGAUCGCUCACUUCAAAAGCUUCUACACGAAUUUAAUAACAUACUCAGAUAUAUAUUUGGAACCAGUACAUCAUAAGCAUGUACUGCAGAGUCCAAGAUGAAAAACUGCAAUAAAAUGCAGCAGUUAAGGAUACGGACGUACCCUUAUGAGAUCAAGAUCAGGAAGACGAGCGCUGCUGGUAUAUCCGAAGCAAGCCAGUGCAGGAAGAAAUGGAAGGAGCUCUCUCCAACACAGCACAGCCACCUGGAAGCAGUUAAUGCUGUGGAAGAAAUGGAGAAGCCAGUUGCUUGCAGCAGAAGGACAACAGCAGGAACCCUAGAUGUACAGGGGUGGGACAGGAUGGAAGGAUGGCAGGCCCUUUCCAUCGCUCUGCAUGUUCUUGCAAAUGCAACGGGACAGGAAGUUCAACUUGGUGGGAAAGCUCAGCAGAGGUCCUUCAGAGGAAGCCUCACUGAUCCACCAUCCAGUGCCAGCCCGCUAACACAAUGUCUCGAUCUGCAGGCCAGCUCUAGACUUGGAUCCAGCAACUGCUUUCAACAUCCUCGAAGGCAUCUAAUUGUUCAGGACAUACCGAAUAUCUCCACUUUCAGAAAUCAAGCCUGGAGUAGAACUCCCUUGAAAGCAAGACAACAGGAAGCCGAGAUGAGUUUUAGAAAACACCAUACAAAAUGGUGCAGUGUAGGCAGAAAAUUGGCUGGGAGCAUGAUGUAAUCUCUGAGAGAGCUGCUUUGCAGAAGCCUAUUUCUUUCCUGCCCACAACCCAGUUUGGCAUUUUGGAUGUACCCAAGGAAGUUAUCUUACCAUGUUUCCCCGGGGGCAGGGUCCCAUGGCACAGGUGCUGAGAUGUGUGUGCCGACAUGCAAGUUAAGAAGUGAGGAACAAGACAGAGAGGGCAGGAGGACUUCAUCUCGUAUUCAUCAAUGUGGUCGCCAAGCUGCUCCUCACUAGCUGCAGAAGUGAAGCCAGAGACUGGUGCUGGGCAAGAAAUUGCUUCUUCCGUAUGAGGAUGAGCUUUAUUAAGCCCAUACUUUCUCAGGUAUGGCAGUUUGUAGAUGAUGCCCUGUUUCAUCUUCCUAGGGCUCACCUUCACUCCCGUCUGCCUUUGCCUUCACUCACACUUUGCAGCACUGAUAUCUGUCUUUGAACAGCGAUGGCAGUUUCAGAUCUGGCGCUACAGCUCAGUUCAGCCCAAAUGUGAACAUAAGGGAGAAGUGCGAAGCUGGUGAAAAGUCUGCAGGGAACAAUAUGGGACCAGCUUAUUUAUGGAUGAACUUUGUGAGGCUCCUCUCUGCCCGUCUCUCCA